GGUGUAUGUCAAACUAGUGUGUGUAUGUGUGUAUGUAUGUGUGUAUGUGUGUGUGUGUUCAGAAGAUAUGCUGGAAACAUUUUUCACAUUGUUCACCUGUGUAACAGGUGUGAGUGAAACAGGUGUGAGGCUUACAUGGUGGAGUGAGACAGGUAUAGGGGAUGAACAUGCUUUGGUUGUAGUGAGACAGGUGUGAGACAGGAAUGAGAGGUACAUGGUGGAGGAGUGAGACAGGUAUAGGGGCUGAACAUGCUGUGGUCGUAGUGAGACAGGAAUGAGACGUACAUGGUGGAGGAGUGAGACAGGUAUAGGGGCUGAACCUGCUGUGGUCGUAGUGAGACAGGUGUGAGAAAGGAAUGAGGCGUACAUGGUGGAGGAGUGAGACAGGUAUAGGGGCUGAACCUGCUGUGGUCGUAGUGAGACAGGUGGGAGACGUACUUGGUGGAGGAGUGGGCCUGGUGUACUUGCUGAACCCGCUGUGGUCGUAGCGGCAGCAGUAGAUAUCCUCGGAAUCUGAAGUGCUGGUGUUGAGCUGAAAGUCGGCGUACGAGCGCCCUGUGUCAAACUGUACCAAGAGUUUGAGUGUGCGCACGUGGUAGAGCUCAAACACUCGGCCACUGUGACCCUGGGGGGCUAGACACCGUAACACCACGCCUGAGGACACAUCUGAGGACACCUGCACCAGCUGUGGAUAGCCAGGAUUCUCCGGAUCCAAAGCUCCGCCUGCUGCUUAAUGAGAGACAAUAAGAAUUCUGGUAUAAUUCUACAAUAGAUCAGUAAACUGUUCUCAUGGACACCUGUCUCAUUCUCUUUACUACAGCCUGAUGUCCAGUUCAGAGGACUACUGAUAAAACUGCAAACUAUUCUCCAGUAAAAUUUUCUUCAACUGAUUGCAUCACUUGACUCCUGGUCUUCAGUGAUCAUAUCUGGU
Molecule: long non-coding RNA, 931 nt
Organism: Ictalurus punctatus (channel catfish)
Lineage: Eukaryota; Metazoa; Chordata; Actinopteri; Siluriformes; Ictaluridae
Source: Ensembl